Macadamia integrifolia is the source of this 477-nucleotide long non-coding RNA. RefSeq lists it as uncharacterized. Lineage: Eukaryota; Viridiplantae; Streptophyta; Magnoliopsida; Proteales; Proteaceae. The transcript is spliced from 2 exons. The record is from RefSeq and is a predicted model, not a curated record.
GGAGGGGAGAGAGAGAAAGCGAAGCAAAAGAAGCAGAGAGGGUUGUGGGAAAGAGAGAAAAGUGUUGUGGAGGGAGAGAAGUGCAGAGAGAAGAGAGAAAAACCACGACAGAGGCAGAAUCAUAUAUUGUAGAGGGAUGAGUACCAUUACUUUCGUUUCAACUCUGCGAUCAUUUGUCUUUUUCGUUCCAAUUUUCCAUCGUCUCUGGAUCCAUGGUGAUUCUUGUGUGUCUGUGAAGGGGAGAAGGAAGGGGAGAGGAAAGUGCGAUGCAAAGAGGGUCGUGGGAGAGAGAGGAAAUCAACGAGAGUGGCGGGCCUUGAUUAAUAUGUUGUUGGUGGUGAAAAUUUUCUUCUCUACCCCUUGUUUGACUUGAAGUCAUGGUUUUAUUCUAAAGUUCUGAUACGAAAUGAUAUCAAAUGAUACCAAAUGAUGUAAUCUCUUUCACGGGAUUGCCCAAAUACAAGGAUUGAGAGAGUA